GGAGGAAGCAGGGGAUCGCAAGACCUUGCGCUUUUGGAGCGGCCGAUGCCUGAUUAGCUUGUUGGUGAGGUAAAAGCUCACCAAGGCUCCGAUCAGUAGCUGGUCUGAGAGGACGACCAGCCACACUGGGACUGAGACACGGCCCAGACUCCUACGGGAGGCAGCAGUGGGGAAUUUUGGACAACGGGGACAACCCUGGUCCAGCCAUGCCGCGUGAGUGAAGAAGGCCUUCGGGUUGUAAAGCUCUUUCAGCCGGAACGAAACGGUCACGGUUAAUACCCGUGACUACUGACGGUACCGGAAGAAGAAGCACCGGCUAACUACGUGCCAGCAGCCGCGGUAAUACGUAGGGUGCGAGCGUUAAUCGGAAUUACUGGGCGUAAAGCGUGCGCAGGCGGUUUUGUAAGUCAGAUGUGAAAUCCCCGGGCUUAACCUGGGAACUGCGUUUGAAACUACAAAGCUAG
RNAcentral lists this ribosomal RNA (464 nucleotides) under uncultured bacterium. RNAcentral's name for it is "bacterial SSU rRNA". It matches the Rfam family "Bacterial small subunit ribosomal RNA", at positions 199 to 644 of the family's 1533-position model. The record is from RNAcentral.